GACAGAGGGUGCAAACGUUGUUCGGAAUUACUGGGCGUAAAGCGCGUGUAGGCUGCUCUGCAAGUCGGAUGUGAAAGCCCUGGGCUCAACCUAGGAAGUGCAUUCGAAACUGCAGAGCUGGAGUCCUGGAGAGGAAGGCGGAAUUCUCGGUGUAGAGGUGAAAUUCGUAGAUAUCGGGAAGAACACCCAUGGCGAAGGCAGCUCUCUGGGACGGUACUGACGCUGAGACGCGAAAGCGUGGGGAGCGAACAGG
This 253-nucleotide ribosomal RNA is filed under the name uncultured bacterium. RNAcentral describes it as "partial 16S ribosomal RNA". It matches the Rfam family "Bacterial small subunit ribosomal RNA", at positions 524 to 776 of the family's 1533-position model. The record is from RNAcentral.